Molecule: ribosomal RNA, 497 nt
Filed under: uncultured bacterium
Lineage: Bacteria
Description: partial 16S ribosomal RNA
Rfam family: Bacterial small subunit ribosomal RNA
Source: RNAcentral
GAUGAACGCUGGCGGCGUGCCUAAUACAUGCCAGUCGAGCGAACAGACGAGGAGCUUGCUCCUCUGACGUUAGCGGCGGACGGGUGAGUAACACGUGUAUAACCUACCUAUAAGACUGGGAUAACUUCGGGAAACCGGAGCUAAUACCGGAUAAUAUAUUGAACCGCAUGGUUCAAUAGUGAAAGACGGUUUUGCUGUCACUUAUAGAUGGAUCCGCGCCGCAUUAGCUGGUUGGUAAGGUAACGGCUUACCAAGGCAACGAUGCGUAGCCGACCUGCUAGGGUGAUCGGCCACACUGGAACUGAGACACGGUCCAGACUCCUACGGGAGGCAGCAGUAGGGAAUCUUCCGCAAUGGGCGAAAGCUUGACGGAGCAACGCCGCGUGAGUGAUGAAGGUCUUCGGAUCGUAAAACUCUGUUAUUAGGGAAGAACAAAUGUGUAAGUAACUAUGCACGUCUUGACGGUACCUAAUCAGAAAGCCACGGCUAACUACGUG